UCCUCUUUCUGCACCCUCUUUACUUACCGCUGUUAGCUACUAAAUGGUAUUUCCAUUGAGAUUUCGAGUGACUUAUUCAAUCACGACUAGACAACCACAGACCGGGAAGAAAUGCAUCUAAUUAGCGAUGUUUUUUUAUUUAUUAUCCUAAAGUAAACGUCCGAUACCUCUUUUAACAUAAAUAACUGGAUGAAAUCCCCAAGUGCCAAUGCAAUUUGGUACCAGUGAUUGACUGAUUUGACAAUGAUGACGUCGCAAUUAUGUGGUAUUGAUAAACCGUUUGGUUUGGGAGUUGGGAACAACCCCUUUUCUAUUGAUGUUAACGCCUUCCAAAGCUUGUACAGUCUGAAAUAUAAUUGAUGGAAGCGACAUCAUAAAAGUGAAAACGAAACGCCAAGCAUUCGGAGAGUUAAACCUAAAAGAUUCGAAGAAAAGGCUAUUUGUGGACGUGAGCUCCGGGAGGGAGAUGGAUCAGCCCCUCGACCACAAAAGACAUUUCUCCUCAGACAGAGAUCGCUGGAACAGAACGUGCCUGCUCUGUCUCCACUAUGCUUUUGUUAAUCUAGACUGCUUUAAACCAUCCUUCAAUGGGGAAACAUGUCUUAUUUUGAUCCAUCGCUUCUUGCCUGUCGAGUUAACAUAACCACAUUAAGCCUAUAAUACAUUAACUGCGUUUAACUGUCCUAAACUCCUCCUGUUAAAUAUCCCUUUAAGAUGUGCUCACUUCCAUCCCUGUCAGCCUCCAACUCUGAGCUUCAGCCGGGAGUUGAUAUUCUAUCUGCUGGUGUUUAUGAACGCAAAGGUAAAAAAGAUUGCCAUCCAGAUGUUUUUCAGGUCCUCCGGACAAUGCGCUGCACCCCGUAAUCUUAAACAGGAUUAAGAAGUCAGCCCUUAGCCAAGGACGUUCCUAGCAGAUGAUAUUCCUGUAACCGGGAAUCAAGAGAGGCUGGUAGUAAAUGGGUCUUUUUUAAAAAUACUGUUAUAAAGCAAUGGUUUAACAUGAGGAAAAAGUUCAUUUUGGUGGCUGGUGCUUCGUUAGAGAGUGUUUUAUUAACAUUUAAGUGGAGUUUUACUGUGUUCAUCAAUACACUGUAUCACAGAGCACGGGGUAUUUAACUUUGCAUGAAAUGUUUGACACAGAGUGAUGAGUGUUGAUGUCCGAUUUGGUAUUAAAACACUGGUUUAUGUAAA
This is a long non-coding RNA of Chiloscyllium plagiosum (whitespotted bambooshark), 1191 nucleotides long. RefSeq lists it as uncharacterized. Lineage: Eukaryota; Metazoa; Chordata; Chondrichthyes; Orectolobiformes; Hemiscylliidae. The record is from RefSeq and is a predicted model, not a curated record.